Molecule: ribosomal RNA, 952 nt
Filed under: Acremoniisimulans cocois
Lineage: Eukaryota; Fungi; Ascomycota; Sordariomycetes; Glomerellales; Plectosphaerellaceae
Description: SSU rRNA
Rfam family: Eukaryotic small subunit ribosomal RNA
Source: RNAcentral
UAAUUCUAGAGCUAAUACAUGCUGAAAAUCCCGACUUCGGAAGGGAUGUAUUUAUUAGAUACAAAACCAAUGCCCUUCGGGGCUCUCUUGGUGAUUCAUGAUAACUUCUCGAAUCGCACGGCCCCGCGCCGGGCGAUGGUUCAUUCAAAUUUCUUCCCUAUCAACUUUCGAUGCUACGGUAGUGUCCUAGCAUGGUUGCAACGGGUGACGGAGGGUUAGGGCUCGACCCCGGAGAAGGAGCCUGAGAAACGGCUACUACAUCCAAGGAAGGCAGCAGGCGCGCAAAUUACCCAAUCCCGACACGGGGAGGUAGUGACGAUAAAUACCGAUACAGGGCUCUUUUGGGUCCUGUAAUUGGAAUGAGUACAAUUCAAAUCCCUUAACGAGGAACAAUUGGAGGGCAAGUCUGGUGCCAGCAGCCGCGGUAAUUCCAGCUCCAAUAGCGUAUAUUAAAGUUGUUGUGGUUAAAAAGCUCGUAGUAGAAGCUCGGGCUCCGGCCGACCGGUCCGCCUCACCGCGUGCACUGGUUCGGCCGGGCCUUCACCUUCUGCGGAACCGCAUCUCCUUCACUGGGGGUGUCGGGGAAACAGGACGUUUACUUUGAAAAAAUUAGAGUGCUCCAGGCAGGCCUAUGCUCGAAUAGAUUAGCAUGGAAUAAUGGAAUAGGACGUGUGGUUCUAUUUCGUUGGUUUCUAGGACCGCCGUAAUGAUUAAUAGGGACAGUCGGGGGCAUCAGUAUUCAAUCGUCAGAGGUGAAAUUCUUGGAUCGAUUGAAGACUAACUACUGCGAAAGCAUUUGCCAAGGAUGUUUUCAUUUAUCAGGAACGAAAGUUAGGGGAUCGAAGACGAUCAGAUACCGUCGUAGUCUUAACCAUAAACUAUGCCGACUAGGGAUCGGACGGUGUUCUUUCUUGACCCGUUCGGCACCUUACGAGAAAUCAAAGUGCUUGGG